UCCUCUCCUCUCUUUCACGCCCCCCCCCCUCUCCCCUCUUACCUCCUCCUACAAGAUGACGGUCGCCCCAGGAGAAAAGGGAAUAGGGGGAAUAGGAAUAGGAGGAGGAGAAGGAGGAGGAAAACAAGAUGUCGAGCUUGGCGACAAUAAUCGAAACGGCUACUCGACCGAAAAAAAGAUGAACGGAGAGAAGCACGUCGAAGAGAAGAAAGAGAAGGACGAGGACGAAGAAGAGGAGGAGGAGACCCAAGGAAGCAGUGAGGUGUUCGAAGUCAUCAUGAAGCACGUGGGGAGCUUCGGCAAGUGGCAGUGGAGGAUGUUCUUCAUCACUUCCUUCUGUGGGGUUUUCACCGCCUUCCAUAAUCUGGCAGCAGUGUUCCUGGCUGCCAACCCCGAACACUGGUGUCACGUGGCGGCCCUCGACGGUGUCAACACAGACUACGAUCUACGCAACGUGUCCAUUCCCUGGAAUCAAGAUACUGACGGAGAGGGAAAGUACUCGAAAUGUACUUACUACGACAGAGACUGGCCGAGGUUGGUAGCCAGCGGCGUGCUCAAUGGGUCGACGCCCCCGGACUUACCUAUGAAUCAGUCAACAGCUGUUUGCAAUGAAUGGCAGUACGACCACUCCAUCUACGAGACUACGGUCGUUGAAGAGUGGGAUCUGGUGUGUGAUAACAAGUACCUCAUGUCGACGGUACAGUCAACCUUCAUGGCUGGCGUGUUAACCGGAGCUGUCGUUUUGAGUGAGCUUUCUGACAAAUACGGGCGGCGCACCAUCUCCCUCCUGUCGGCGGUGGGUAUCCUGGUGUCCUCUGUGGCGGUCACCUUCGUCAGGCACUAUGAGCUCUUCAUUACUCUGAGGUUCUUCGUUGCCGCCUUCGGGUCCGGUCUCUUCUUGCCCAAUUUCGUGUUGCUGAUGGAAGUGGUGGGUCCGGAAGCGCGUACCAUAAUGGGCAUGAUGUACCAGGCCUUCUUCAGCGUGGGAUUUAUGCUCCUUCCGGGCAUCGCCUAUUUCGUCAGGGACUGGAGGAACCUCGAGCUCUGCAUCUCGGUUCCUACGGUUGUUCUUCUUCUUUAUUACUGGCUGCUUCCGGAGUCGCCCCGAUGGCUGAUGCAACAAGGGCGCCACGAGGAGGGCAUCGAGAUUCUGGCGAAGGCGGCGAAGGUGAACGGGGGGAAGUUGCCAGAGAAGGAGGAACUCGAGAGGCUCAUGAACAAAAUAACUGUGUCUUUAGAACCAGACCAAAAGAUAGCACAGGAAAUGGAAGACUCCGCGGUCUCGGCCAGCUUCUUCGAGAAAAUCGUCAAUUUCUUCAAGAGCAUCGUGACCCUCCUGAGUACCAAGAACAUGCGGAGACGUUGCCUCAUCAUCUUCUUCGCCUGGUUCGUCGUGAGUAUGGUAUACUACGGCCUCACCUUCAGCGGGGGCAAUAUCGACGCUUCGGUAUACCUCAUGGUCUUUAUGAGCGGCCUGGUGGAGAUUCCUUCGUACCUCCUCGUCUGUUGGACUCUGAAGAAAUUUGGGCGGCGCCUCAACCUCUGCGUUCUCUUCAUCAUCUGCGGCGCCGCUUGUCUGCUGAUCCUUGCAGUGCCGAAAGAACAAGUAUGGCUGAACCUGACCCUGGCGACCAUCGGGAAAUUCUUCAACUCCUCUGCCUUCGGCGUCGCCUACAUCUACUCGGCGGAGCUCGUGCCGACGGGCGUGCGGAACAUCAGCGUCGGGACGUCGUCCAUGUGCGCGCGAAUCGGCUCUGCGCUUGCGCCGUUCAUUGUUGAUUUGUUGGGCGACGUGCACUACGCUGUGCCCUCCACAGUCUUCGGCCUACUCUCUGUCGCGGCGGGUCUGCUGGCGCUUCUGCUGCCGGAAACGGGGAACAGCAGACUUCCGGAAACCGUAGAGGAAGUCGAGGCCAUGCCCAGGUAGCGGGGAUUCGGACGCGACGAAAGGUGAUGCUGCUUCCUGGAGGUGCGGGGAGGGUGGAGGCGACCAAGUGUUUCUGCAGCAAAGGUUCGAGAGGUAUCUUCUUCGUCUUCCGAAGGAGGAAAAGAAGUCAGAAAAUGAGAAGAAAAGAAAUGGAGAGAACGACCGGGAGAUGGAGGGGUGAUUUUGGCUGGUUCAUAUCCGUGGUCGGUUUGAACUUGGUUUAAAUCACACACGCUUACAUAAAC
RNAcentral lists this unclassified non-coding RNA (2172 nucleotides) under Penaeus japonicus. RNAcentral describes it as "organic cation transporter protein-like, transcript variant X2". The record is from RNAcentral. Lineage: Eukaryota; Metazoa; Arthropoda; Malacostraca; Decapoda; Penaeidae.